GUCGUGCUAGGAAUGGACCCCUCUGAAGCAAGAUUGCCAUUGGAUUCUCUGCUUGUUUCACUGCUUAUCAAGGAAUCAGUUUCCUUGGGUUCAAAUUCUUUGUAGUCAUCCAUGACUCCACAGUUUCAUAUGCAUCGAGAGCAAUAAGGUCUGGCGCAAAUUUAUACUGCACAGGACAAUCAAUAUUGAUAAUUGUAUAUUAUAUUAGUCCAAAGAGAUUGAGAAGGUUCGUCCCAAACAAAAUAAUAGCAUUAAAAACUCAGGAAGAACCAGAUAGAAUAGAAACCAAAAUAUUAUCAUAUCCCAAAUCCCUGUGGCUGAACCUUACCUGAAGGUCUACAGACACAGAAGGUUUCUGAAGCACUUCCAGUGCUCUUUUUGCUU
This 384-nucleotide long non-coding RNA is filed under the name Medicago truncatula (barrel medic). RNAcentral describes it as "lncRNA gene29673". Lineage: Eukaryota; Viridiplantae; Streptophyta; Magnoliopsida; Fabales; Fabaceae. The record is from RNAcentral.